GUCCCCGCACAAGCGGCGGAGCAUGCGGCUUAAUUCGAUGCAACCCGAAGAACCUUACCUGGGUUUGACAUCACGGGAAAAGCUGUAGAAAUACAGUGUCCAUUAGGGCCCGUGACAGGUGGUGCAUGGCUGUCGUCAGCUCGUGUCGUGAGAUGUUGGGUUAAGUCCCGCAACGAGCGCAACCCUUGUCCUAUGUUGCCAGCGGUUCGGCCGGGGACUCAUAGGAGACUGCCGGGGAUAACUCGGAGGAAGGUGAGGACGACGUCAAGUCAUCAUGCCCCUUAUAUCCAGGGCUGCACGCAUGCUACAAUGGCCGGUACAACGGGCAGCGACCUCGCGAGAGUGAGCGAAUCCCUUAAAGCCGGCCCCAGUUCGGAUUGAAGUCUGCAACUCGACUUCAUGAAGCCGGAGUCGCUAGUAA
This 421-nucleotide ribosomal RNA is filed under the name uncultured bacterium. Its description in RNAcentral is "bacterial SSU rRNA". It matches the Rfam family "Bacterial small subunit ribosomal RNA", at positions 920 to 1341 of the family's 1533-position model. The record is from RNAcentral.